Molecule: long non-coding RNA, 445 nt
Filed under: Equus asinus (donkey)
Lineage: Eukaryota; Metazoa; Chordata; Mammalia; Perissodactyla; Equidae
Description: lncRNA (ENSEASG00005036463.1)
Source: RNAcentral
CCCUUUUGGGCCAACCUCUGGACUUUUCUCCUCCAACUCAUCCCCUCUCUGAAAUUGGAACCGCCUCCCUCCAGCUUUGAGAACCACAUGAAAAUGAAAAUUUCAAAUUCAGAAUUCCCCAGUGACACAGAUACCCAGGAUGACUUAGAUGGGGAAACUGAGGCACUGAGCAAGAACGUGACAUCCUUGGUCACAUGGCAAGAUGGAGACAAAGCUAGGGCCAAAGCCAUGUCUCCAAGAGCCUCAGCCCUGUGCUUUUUCCUCCUGUAGUAUGCUGCCUUCAGAAGUCAAAUAUAGAGCCCAGGAAGACAUAUCUUUCAUAUCAAAUCUGUCAAUAAAAUGCUGCAUUUAUAAAAAUAUCAUUUGAACCCUGAAAAAUACUUCAUUAAAACACAACGAGCUUCCUUGAAAAUACUCCAGAGCAAAGUUUCCCAGGUUUGGGGGA